This 769-nucleotide ribosomal RNA is filed under the name Streptomyces albidoflavus. Its description in RNAcentral is "partial 23S ribosomal RNA". It matches the Rfam family "Bacterial large subunit ribosomal RNA", at positions 1 to 687 of the family's 2925-position model. Lineage: Bacteria; Bacillati; Actinomycetota; Actinomycetes; Kitasatosporales; Streptomycetaceae. The record is from RNAcentral.
ACAGUGGACGCGAGCAUCUGUGGCCAAGUUUUUAAGGGCGCACGGUGGAUGCCUUGGCACCAGGAACCGAUGAAGGACGUGGGAGGCCACGAUAGUCCCCGGGGAGUCGUCAACCAGGCUUUGAUCCGGGGGUUUCCGAAUGGGGAAACCCGGCAGUCGUCAUGGGCUGUCACCCGCUGCUGAACUCAUAGGCAGUGUGGAGGGAACGCGGGGAAGUGAAACAUCUCAGUACCCGCAGGAAGAGAAAACAACCGUGAUUCCGGGAGUAGUGGCGAGCGAAACUGGAUGAGGCCAAACCGUAUGUGUGUGAUACCCGGCAGGGGUUGCGCAUGCGGGGUUGUGGGAUCUCUCUUCCACGGUCUGCCGGCCGUGGGACGAGUCAGAAACCGUUGAUGUAGGCGAAGGACAUGCGAAAGGUCCGGCGUAGAGGGUAAGACCCCCGUAGUCGAAACAUUAGCGGCUCGUUUGAGAGACACCCAAGUAGCACGGGGCCCGAGAAAUCCCGUGUGAAUCUGGCGGGACCACCCGCUAAGCCUAAAUAUUCCCUGGUGACCGAUAGCGGAUAGUACCGUGAGGGAAUGGUGAAAAGUACCGCGGGAGCGGAGUGAAAUAGUACCUGAAACCGUGUGCCUACAAGCCGUGGGAGCGUCGCGCAUCGAGCUUGCUCGGUGCGUCGUGACUGCGUGCCUUUUGAAGAAUGAGCCUGCGAGUUAGCGGUGUGUAGCGAGGUUAACCCGUGUGGGGAAGCCGUAGCGAAAGCGAGUCCGAA